UUAUUGCCUUGCUAUUCUGCCCUCUCAUUGGCUCUUAGCCCAGCUACCUCACUUCCUUGUCACUGCCUGUCUGUACAGACUUCCAGGUCUCUAUGGUUAGUACUUGGAUUAAAGGUGUGUGUCACUCACUACAUGUGGUUCUGUUCCCUACUGUGGCCUUGAACACACAGAGACCCUGCCUGCCAAGUGAUUGGAUUAAGGGCAUGUGCUACCACCGCCUGACUUUUGUGUUACUUAAAAUGGCUUGCUAUUUCCUCUGAUCUCCAGGCAAACUUUAUUUAUUAACAUACAAAUAAAAUAUCACCACAUUUCAGCACAAAUAAAGUAUCACCACACUUUGGAGAUAUGAAAUGUGCAAUGCCCAUUAGGGUUAUAUAAAAAGAGUCCAGGGCUAGAGCUGGAGAUGGAGGAGGUGGUGUAGGCAUGGAGUUUAAAGCCACUCAGUUGGAUGAGGUGUUCCAGGAAGUGCACUCACACACAGUCAGGAGAACUCAGUUGCCCCAGUGGUUGAAAGAGGAACAGCAGAGGACUGAGCUGGAGCUGUCUGAGGAGGAAACCAGGAGUGAGGCCCGAAGGUCAGAUGAAGCAGGUGUUUCCUAGAGACCCGUGAUGAGCCAGCCCAUCAGUAGCUCAGAUGCUGGAAACAGGACAAGUAAGAUGAAGGUCGCAACACAGUCAUUGAAUGUACCAACGUGGAGGUCGCUGGUGAUGCUAAAACAGCUGUUUCGGUGGGAUGGAAGAGAUAAAAGCUUGGGGGAGAGGAUGUAAGCAUGAAAGAACACUUACCCGUGCUUGUAAAGAACUCUUCCAAUGAAAGUUGUUUUCUAGACUUUUGGAGCUUAGUAAAAUCAUAUUUAAUACAGAUUUUUAUGAGUUUACAGUUAUCGUUACUUAUUUCAGUUGUGCUCUGUGUGUACUAUUCUUUGAUAUAAAAUUGACUUCUUGGUUUUGUUUUGCUUUUUUUAAAACUUAAAAAAUGAAGCAGAUAUUCAGAAAAGCAGCCCAUUUGAAGGAACAUUUCAGUAGUUUUGUUUUUCCUUUUUAAGUGCUGAGGAAUAAAUCAGAACCAUUGAACUCUUA
Non-coding RNA from Peromyscus maniculatus bairdii (prairie deer mouse), 1080 nucleotides. NCBI's taxonomy places the organism in Eukaryota, Metazoa, Chordata, Mammalia, Rodentia, Cricetidae. The record is from RefSeq and is a predicted model, not a curated record.